UGGCUUAGACGGUAAAGUGUCUGCCUACAAAGCGGGAGACCCAGGUUCAAUCCCUGG
This 57-nucleotide transfer RNA is filed under the name Ovis aries (sheep). It matches the Rfam family "tRNA", at positions 8 to 63 of the family's 71-position model. From Rfam's summary of the family: Transfer RNA (tRNA) molecules are approximately 80 nucleotides in length. Their secondary structure includes four short double-helical elements and three loops (D, anti-codon, and T loops). Further hydrogen bonds mediate the characteristic L-shaped molecular structure. tRNAs have two regions of fundamental functional importance: the anti-codon, which is responsible for specific mRNA codon recognition, and the 3' end, to which the tRNAs corresponding amino acid is attached (by aminoacyl-tRNA synthetases). tRNAs cope with the degeneracy of the genetic code in two manners: having more than one tRNA (with a specific anti-codon) for a particular amino acid; and 'wobble' base-pairing, i.e. permitting non-standard base-pairing at the 3rd anti-codon position. Lineage: Eukaryota; Metazoa; Chordata; Mammalia; Artiodactyla; Bovidae. The record is from Rfam by way of RNAcentral.